GCCCUCGUAGUCCAACUGGCAGGAGACGUGGUCGUGAGGCGGCCAACAGUGCCCGUUCGAAUCGGGCCGGGGGCACCG
RNAcentral lists this transfer RNA (78 nucleotides) under Micromonospora sp. KC723. RNAcentral's name for it is "tRNA-Leu". The record is from RNAcentral. Lineage: Bacteria; Bacillati; Actinomycetota; Actinomycetes; Micromonosporales; Micromonosporaceae.